Molecule: long non-coding RNA, 427 nt
Organism: Piliocolobus tephrosceles (Ugandan red Colobus)
Lineage: Eukaryota; Metazoa; Chordata; Mammalia; Primates; Cercopithecidae
Exons: 2
Source: RefSeq, a predicted model, not a curated record
CUCCUGCCUCAGCUUCCUGAGUAGCUGGGACCACAGGCAUGUGCCACCUCACCUGACUGUAGGCUUGGAAGAAGAAUGACAAAACCUAUGAGCAAGGCAGUUAUUUUGAAUGAUAUUUCUUCCCUUUUCUGUAUUGCAGGACAUCAGAACUAAUGUUUCUCUUUUGUUUUCAUUCUGUUUUUUUUCUGCAUCCUGUCUUUCAUGAAAAUAUUUUUCUCUCCCUUGAUAUCACUGCUUUUUUUCUUUUUGAUAUAUGAAUACACAGCUACUUCUGUGUUCUUUACUUCUUUAAACAGUUAACCCUUUUAUGUUACUGUAGGCAGAAAAAGGAUAGCGGUUAAUCAAUUAGGCAGUGAAGAGGGUAAAACUUUGUUUGCCUGCCCUACUUUGUUGGCUGUCUCUGAGUUUGUGUGUGUGUAUCUUAAAA